Musa acuminata subsp. malaccensis (wild Malaysian banana) is the source of this 956-nucleotide non-coding RNA. The record is from RefSeq and is a predicted model, not a curated record. Lineage: Eukaryota; Viridiplantae; Streptophyta; Magnoliopsida; Zingiberales; Musaceae.
GAGAGAGAGAGAGAGAGAGAGAGAGAGAGAGAGGGGGGGGGAAGGGUCGAAUGGAAGGAGAAAAGAAGCCAUCGUCAUCUUCGAUUGCCGAUGAACUGUUAGACAUCAGGAAGAGUGCGGGGACGCCCGCCGAUUCCUCCUUUUCCUCUUCUUCUUCUUCCGCCUUGUCGCCCGGCUACUUCAGCAGUGUCUUCCCCACUGGUUCCACGGAGAUGUCUAAGGAUUCAGCAGAGAGUGACUUGUUCUGGACCUCCAGCGAGCGAAGGACAGAUGAUCUGAUCGGGAACGCUCAGGCCGCUGCAGCAGAUGGGAAAUCUCAGGGAAGUCCCAGCAGAAGGCAAACUACGUGGAGCAAGGAUGGUAAACUAGUCGAUCCCAAUCAAUCAGAAGAAUCGACCUACUUGUGCUCAUCUGUGCACUAUGGUGGUCGAGAUUUCUAUGUCAGCUCUCCUUCCAACCAAGUCUCUGGAGCUCCAAAAAGUGAUAAAAAAUCUGAUGAAGGGGAUGAUUCAGGUGACGCUAACAUUGCAAACAGAGGUGAAUGGUGGCAAGGUUCCCUGUACUACUGAAGACACUGAUUAGAUCAGUAUGCUCUUCUUUUAAUAGAGGAGGAAGAUGUUAUUAUUGAAGUGAUGAACAGGGGAGGCAACAUGAGAUUAAAAGUUGGUGUUUAGAGAGCUACUGCUGUCUCGGUGUGCUAGCUACUUACAGGAGUCAGCAUAACCACCAUAUGAAGUGUCACUUCCCAGUUCUUUCUCGGGGUCUUCGAUUCGCACGUAGUAAGAUACUACUGUCUAUGUACGAAGUAAUUGUCUUUGUACGUAAUUUCAGGUCUGGGCAGCAGAGAAGCUGUUUCGAGUCGUCGCCUCCAGCUUCUACCGCAGUGUGGCUGUCAGGUUGCUCACAAAUGUAUAUUUUAAUGCACAUAAUAAGCUUUUAUUAGUGGUUUGUUUGGA